RNAcentral lists this ribosomal RNA (460 nucleotides) under uncultured bacterium. Its description in RNAcentral is "partial 16S ribosomal RNA". It matches the Rfam family "Bacterial small subunit ribosomal RNA", at positions 338 to 795 of the family's 1533-position model. The record is from RNAcentral.
ACUACGGGGGGCUGCAGUGAGGAAUAUUGGUCAAUGGCCGGAAGGCUGAACCAGCCAUGCCGCGUGAAGGUCAAUGCCCUAUGGGCGUUAAACUUCUUUUGUGCGGGAGCAAUAAUGGUCACGUGUGGCCAGACGAGAGUACCGUACGAAUAAGCAUCGGCUAACUCCGUGCCAGCAGCCGCGGUAAUACGGGGGAUGCCAGCGUUAGCCGGAUUUUUUGGGGUUAAAAGGUGCGUAGGCGGUGAGGUAAUUCAGCGGUGAAAUGCCCCGGCUCAACGGGGUGAAGUGCCAUUGAUACUGCCUGGCUGGAAUGCGAAUGCCGUGGGAGGAAUGUGUGGUGUAGCGGUGAAAUGCAUAGAUAUCGCACAGAACACCGAUUGCGAAGGCAUCUCACGAAUCCGCGAUUGACGCUGAUGCACGAAAGCGUGGGUAUCAAACAGGAUUAGAUACCCUUGUAGUC